GCUUGUCUCAAAGAUUAAGCCAUGCAUGUCUAAGUAUAAACGACUUUAUACUGUGAAACUGCGAAUGGCUCAUUAUAUCAGUUAUAGUUUAUUUGAUGGUCCUUACUACUUGGAUAACCGUAGUAAUUAGAGCUAAUACAUGCGUCAAAACCCGACUCCUGGGAUUUAUUAGAUGGAAACCAAUGCGGGGUUGUAUUUAUUAGAUGCAUCAUUCCAGUUUCUGCCCUAUCAGCUUGGAUGGUAGGGUAUUGGCCUACCAUGGCUUUAACGGGUAACGGAGAAUCAGGGUUCGAUUCCGGAGAGGGAGCCUGAGAAAUGGCUACCACAUCCAAGGAAGGCAGCAGG
Molecule: ribosomal RNA, 345 nt
Filed under: uncultured fungus
Lineage: Eukaryota; Fungi
Description: partial small subunit ribosomal RNA
Rfam family: Eukaryotic small subunit ribosomal RNA
Source: RNAcentral